AGAGUUUGAUCCUGGCUCAGGAUGAACGCUGGCGGCGUGCCUAAUACAUGCAAGUCGAACGCACUGUGGUUCAACUGAUUUGAAGAGCUUGCUCUGAUAUGACGAUGAACAUUGCAGUGAGUGGCGAACGGGUGAGUAACACGUGGGAAACCUACCUCUUAGCGGGGGAUAACAUCUGGAAACAGAUGCUAGUACCGCAUAACACUAGCAACCGCAUGGUUGCUACUUGAAAGAUGGUUCUGCUAUCACUAAGAGAUGGUCCCGCGGCGCAUUAGUUAGUUGGUGAGGUAAUGGCUCACCAAGACGAUGAUGCGUAGCCGAGUUGAGAGACUGAUCGGCCACAAUGGGACUGAGACACGGCCCAUACUCCUACGGGAGGCAGCAGUAGGGAAUCUUCCACAAUGGACGAAAGUCUGAUGGAGCAACGCCGCGUGUGUGAUGAAGGGUUUCGGCUCGUAAAACACUGUUGUAAGAGAAGAAUAGCAUCAAGAGUAACUGCUUGGUGUGUGACGGUAUCUUACCAGAAAGGAACGGCUAAAUACGUGCCAGCAGCCGCGGUAAUACGUAUGUUCCAAGCGUUAUCCGGAUUUAUUGGGCGUAAAGCGAGCGCAGACGGUUUUUUAAGUCCGAAGUGAAAGCUCACAGCUUAACUGUGGAAGUGCUUUGGAAACUGGAUGACUUGAGUGCAGUAGAGGAGAGUGGAAUUUCCAUGUGUAGCGGUGAAAUGCGUAGAUAUAUGGAGGAACACCAGUGGCGAAGCGGCUCUCUGGACUGUAACUGACGUUGAGCUCGAAAGUGUGGGUAGCAAA
RNAcentral lists this ribosomal RNA (809 nucleotides) under uncultured bacterium. RNAcentral describes it as "bacterial SSU rRNA". It matches the Rfam family "Bacterial small subunit ribosomal RNA", at positions 8 to 772 of the family's 1533-position model. The record is from RNAcentral.